ACGUAGGGGGCGAGCGUUGUCCGGAAUUACUGGGCGUAAAGAGCACGUAGGCGGGAACUUAAGUCAGGUGUGAAAGACCGGGGCUCAACCUCGGGUAUGCACUUGAAACUGGGGUUCUUGAGGGCAGGAGAGGAAAGCAGAAUUCCUGGUGUAGCGGUGAAAUGCGUAGAGAUCGGGAGGAAUAUCAGUGGCGAAGGCGACUAUCUGGACUGACACUGACGCUGAGGCGCGAAAGCGUGGGUAGCAAACAG
Molecule: ribosomal RNA, 251 nt
Filed under: uncultured prokaryote
Description: partial 16S rRNA
Rfam family: Bacterial small subunit ribosomal RNA
Source: RNAcentral